UGCGUAGGCGGAAUAUUAAGUCAGUGGUGAAAUCCUGCAGCUUAACUGUAGAACAGCCAUUGAUACUGUUAUUCUUGAAUUUAGUUGAGGUGGGCGGAACGUGUAAUGUAGCGGUGAAAUGCUUAGAUAUUACACAGAACACCGAUUGCGAAGGCAGCUCACUAAACUAAUAUUGACGCUGAGGCACGAAAGCGUGGGUAGCGAACAGGAUUAGAUACCCUGGUAGUC
This 228-nucleotide ribosomal RNA is filed under the name uncultured bacterium. RNAcentral describes it as "partial 16S ribosomal RNA". It matches the Rfam family "Bacterial small subunit ribosomal RNA", at positions 568 to 795 of the family's 1533-position model. The record is from RNAcentral.